Long non-coding RNA from Felis catus (domestic cat), 598 nucleotides. RefSeq lists it as uncharacterized. The transcript has 2 exons. NCBI's taxonomy places the organism in Eukaryota, Metazoa, Chordata, Mammalia, Carnivora, Felidae. The record is from RefSeq and is a predicted model, not a curated record.
CAUGGUACAAAAAGGAAGGGAAGGGAAAGGAAGCGAUUGUACGCUCUGAAUUGAGCAUUGCAUGCCUUUAAUCCUCAGAGCAAACUCCAGUUCACAGACAGAAACUUCGGAGAGGUUCAGUACCUUCCUUCAAACCACACAGGCCCGAUCCCGGGACCGUCUAGCCCUGGCCCAUGUUCCUUAUCUACUUGCCGACCACCUGGUAAUGACACAGAUAGGCUCCUGAAGUGGAUGCAACACAUUGCUGGCUGGAGUAAUUGUUCUUGAAAGCAAGCCAGACCCAGCCAUCACCUGCAUAAAACCCUCCUGUGGCUCCCCACUGGUCUCAGGAUAGAUUCCAAACUCCUAGCCUGCCACUUAAGGCCCGGAGUCAUGGGCCUCCUUCAGUCAUGCUGGAUUCUAAUUUCCCAAAUGGUCAACUCUUUCCUGCAGCCUGAGCUACUUGUAACACUGACCACCUCUUUGUCCUUCAGGACACAGCUUGACUCCAACUUCCCUGAGGGUGGAGACGAUGUCAAUCCUGUUUACUUGUCUUUCCAGUGCCAGGAAUAUACUAGAAGGCUUUCAGUAAAUGUAGAAUAAAUGAAUGGUUAAUGGG